CCUACGGGUGGCAGCAGUGAGGAAUAUUGGUCAAUGGACGAGAGUCUGAACCAGCAAAGUAGCGUGAAGGAUGACUGCCCUAUGGGUUGUAAACUUCUUUUAUAUGGGAAUAAAAUGUUCCACGUGUGGGAUUUUGUAUGUACCAUAUGAAUAAGGAUCGGCUAACUCCGUGCCAGCAGCCGCGGUAAUACGGAGGAUCCGAGCGUUAUCCGGAUUUAUUGGGUUUAACGGGAGCGUAGGUGGAUUGUUAAGUCAGUUGUGAAAGUUUGCGGCGCAACCGUAAAAGUGCAGUUGAAACUGGCAGUCUUGAGUACAGUAGAGGUGAGCGGAAUGCGUGGUGUAGCGGUGAAAUGCUUAGAUAUCACGAAGAACUCCGAUUGCGAAGGCAGUUCACUGGACUGCAACUGACACUGAGGCUCGAAAGUGUGGGUAUCAAACAGGAUUAGAUACCCGAGUAGUC
This 460-nucleotide ribosomal RNA is filed under the name uncultured bacterium. RNAcentral describes it as "partial 16S ribosomal RNA". It matches the Rfam family "Bacterial small subunit ribosomal RNA", at positions 338 to 795 of the family's 1533-position model. The record is from RNAcentral.